Long non-coding RNA from Photinus pyralis (common eastern firefly), 1130 nucleotides. RefSeq lists it as uncharacterized. The record is from RefSeq and is a predicted model, not a curated record. The transcript is spliced from 2 exons. Lineage: Eukaryota; Metazoa; Arthropoda; Insecta; Coleoptera; Lampyridae.
AGAACACCCUGUACAUUUAGAGUGAAGUUAGUUACGUUACGAAUUAAGCUAGGUUAGGAUUGGUGAGUCGGUUUGGUUUAUCUUUUAUGACUUUAUGUUUUAUGUAAACUUAUGUAAAGGAGUGGAAAUAUAUAUAAUCAACAAUAAAGACGACUACAGCCAUCAGAAGUGGGAUAGUGGAAAACGUAUUGUAAGUCCGGAUUCUUAAAAAUAAAAGGCCAAAUUUAGGAUGUUGGGUGAUGAAAGUGGACACAUGGCAAGAGGCGGUGGCGAUCCAGAUACAUCUGUGAACGAGGAGCAAAAGCGACAGAAUCGACGGUUAGGAUUGGAGUGGUAAUAUAUAUAAUCAACAAUAAAGACGACUACACAGCAAACAUUUACGGUGCGAUGCUUUCGUAAUCUCAUUAUAAACCAGACGGAAACCACGUUGGUGCUCUCCAGAUGGCGCAGAGAGCGUUUCCCUUUCUAAAACGUUCGUGAUUGCCAGCUCUCAAAAAUGUGUUCAUCGUCGCCGCUGUAUAUACAGGGUGGAACCUCUCAAUGUAUUUAAAACCAAAGGCAAAACCGAGCCGAGGAAAACUCCGAAUCACUUGCUCACAGGGGAUAAAUAUUGGGGGAAAUCUGGAGAAAGGGAGGUAAUUGGUCGAACCUCCUCCAAUCCAGAAUCUAUUUAAUUUACUUGAUAUGGCAACUCUUAGACUAAAGUAAUAUUUCGAGAUGAAUGCGGAGCUUUGCAACUUUGGCAUUUACCUUUGCACGGGCGAGAAACAGUUAAUUACGUUAAAUAAGUAAGGCAGAUUCGUACACCAAUAAAGUUUGAAGUCGCCCAUUUACCUAAAUGAGUAAACAUCAAAUGAAAUUAACAAGAGGCCAAUGCUGAACAAACCUAAUUGGUAGAUAAUUUAAAGUGAAAAAAGCAAAUACACCUUAGUUACACGCAGCUGAAGGCAAAACAAUUUACAAUAAAGCGAAAAAUUACAAUCAGGGCCGGUUUUAGGCGUGGGCGAACGCCACAGGCGGCCGUCCGCAAGUGUGGCCCGCCGCGCGAUGGCAAGUUACUGGUUUCCAACGUAUACAGAAACGCUGCGAGUGGUUAUCGACACCUGCCGACAAAUUUAUUACUUUGAAUC